CAAUCGGCCCUUUUCAGGGCCAUCAAAUAUUUAAAACGCAUUGAAU
Molecule: regulatory RNA element, 46 nt
Organism: Trichomalopsis sarcophagae
Lineage: Eukaryota; Metazoa; Arthropoda; Insecta; Hymenoptera; Pteromalidae
Rfam family: Histone 3' UTR stem-loop
About the family: The mRNAs of metazoan histone genes lack a poly-A tail. 3' end processing occurs at a site between a highly conserved stem-loop (modelled by this family) and a purine rich region around 20 nts downstream (the histone downstream element, or HDE).
Source: Rfam